UAACAAGGGGGGGAGGAGAAAGGAAGAGGGAGGUGCGGUGGUGGUUGGUUCACCGGUCCGGUGGCACUGGAUUGGCACCAGCACAGAGCUCCUGCUUACGGAAACGAAGAUCCGUUCUUGGGGAUGCGAAGAUCCAGGGAGGCACUCUCCCGUUCAGUUCUCCUUACUAUCGGUUCAGGGCCAUGCCACAGCAGGUGAAAGUUAAUCCCCUUCUGGGCCGGCAGACGUGACAUGGUAAGAAAGCUGACACAGAGAUUCGAUUUUGUUUGGUCAGGUCUUCAUUAGAUGGACGACUGUUCUUAUUUAGUGUCUCUGGUUUCCUCUUGUGCCUUUCAUUCAGGCUGGCUUUCACGGGAUUGGCAUUGGUGGCGCAGUCAAUACUACCUACAGAAGUGCCACCAACUUGCACCAAGCUAUUGCGUCAAGGUGAGAUGAUCAAUUCGCUCCUUGGCGGCCGCCACCCUGUUUAGUACUCUUAUUAAUCUAAUUCCUCUUAUUUCUCUCUUGUUGAUGCAAACCUGCAAACUUCACGUGAAGGCUCAGUCUUUUCGUGUGUUUCAUACGUCUUGAAAACACAUAGGUUGAUUCAUAUGAUUCUUCAGCGGUAGCAAGUUUGUCAUGUACAUUCCUUCCUAUAAGCAACUGAAGCGGCAGGCACCUCCAACCAACGCUUUCCCGGGUGAUCCCCGGCCACGAGCACGUCUAUCCCUACAAGCUGCUACCGGUGCUCCCUCUCCGCUGGAUGCGGCAAGGUCGUGGGAGUGUUCUGUAGCUCGGCGCUGCACCAUGGGCACCCGAUCGUCGCCCUCAUGGCCACUGCCGCAGACUUCGUGUCUGGCCUGCUU
Molecule: long non-coding RNA, 845 nt
Filed under: Triticum aestivum (bread wheat)
Lineage: Eukaryota; Viridiplantae; Streptophyta; Magnoliopsida; Poales; Poaceae
Description: long non-coding RNA (TAES_LNC019230)
Source: RNAcentral